UGAGCCAAGUUUAGGGUUUUCUCAAAACCCAAGCAGUAUUGAACUGAAGAGUUUGAUCAUGGCUCAGAUUGAACGCUGGCGGCAGGCCUAACACAUGCAAGUCGAGCGGAUGAAGGGAGCUUGCUCCUGGAUUCAGCGGCGGACGGGUGAGUAAUGCCUAG
RNAcentral lists this ribosomal RNA (161 nucleotides) under Pseudomonas aeruginosa. RNAcentral's name for it is "partial 16S ribosomal RNA". The stretch from base 41 to 161 matches the Rfam family "Bacterial small subunit ribosomal RNA", at positions 1 to 120 of the family's 1533-position model. The record is from RNAcentral. Lineage: Bacteria; Pseudomonadati; Pseudomonadota; Gammaproteobacteria; Pseudomonadales; Pseudomonadaceae.